This 253-nucleotide ribosomal RNA is filed under the name uncultured bacterium. Its description in RNAcentral is "partial 16S ribosomal RNA". It matches the Rfam family "Bacterial small subunit ribosomal RNA", at positions 524 to 776 of the family's 1533-position model. The record is from RNAcentral.
GACAGAGGGGGCAAACGUUGUUCGGAAUUACUGGGCGUAAAGCGCGUGUAGGCGGCCCGGUAAGUCGGAUGUGAAAGCCCUGGGCUUAACCUAGGAAGUGCAUUCGAAACUCCCGGGCUUGAGUACUGGAGAGGAAGGCGGAAUUCUCGGUGUAGAGGUGAAAUUCGUAGAUAUCGAGAGGAACACCGGUGGCGAAGGCGGCCUUCUGGACAGUGACUGACGCUGAGACGCGAAAGCGUGGGGAGCAAACAGG